RNAcentral lists this long non-coding RNA (770 nucleotides) under Sarcophilus harrisii (Tasmanian devil). RNAcentral's name for it is "lncRNA (ENSSHAG00000027384.1)". The record is from RNAcentral. Lineage: Eukaryota; Metazoa; Chordata; Mammalia; Dasyuromorphia; Dasyuridae.
UGAAAAGCUGUCUGAAAGGCUGUCUGUCAUAUGAUGAAGGUAUUUCGAUCCAUUCUCCUUGGCCCCAAAGGGCAGAACUAAGCAACAAUGGAUGGAAGUUACAUGGGCACAAAUUCAGAUAACAAAACUGAGAUGUGAAGAUGGGAAAUUGAGCUAAGUUACAAAGCUGGCUGGUAGAGUCAGGACUCGAAUCCAGAUCUCCUAGAUCCUAGACCAGAGGCAUCUUCCACCAAGCCAAGAUGGAGUCCCCAGUGGCCCAGAUGGAAUAUUUGCCCUCCUGUUCGAGGAUUCCGAGCCUCAUAUGGAGAUCUGUAUUCGUAUCUUGAAGGAGGAAAGGAGAGGAAAGUAUCCGAGACAAUCUUUCUAGGUAUCCUGUAGUGAGAAGAAAACUGGGGGUAGACUUGUGGCUCUGACAUUUCCUGGCUGUGUGACCCUGGAAAGAAUCCUUCAUUUACACCAGAAGAUGAGAACACAAGAUACCCCUUCAAAUUCUGGACAAUUAAGUGUUGAUAUGCUUUAUACAUUCACAGUAUGUAUCACAAAAAUUAUAAACACUUACAAGAAAAUAAUAGAUUAGAUGAAGAGGAGAAAGGAUGUGUCAAAAAUAAGAUUAUAAAGAGCCCCUUAUCAUGCUUCCUUUUGUAUAUUGUCUUUCCUCCUUAGAUUGUAAACUUGUGAUCCGAAACUGUUUUCCUCCCUAAUUUGCAUCUCCAGAACUUAGCACAGGGUCUGGCACAUAGUGGGUGCUUAAUAAAUAUUUAUUGACUGAC